This is a long non-coding RNA of Linepithema humile (Argentine ant), 1223 nucleotides long. RefSeq lists it as uncharacterized. The record is from RefSeq and is a predicted model, not a curated record. NCBI's taxonomy places the organism in Eukaryota, Metazoa, Arthropoda, Insecta, Hymenoptera, Formicidae.
CUUCACGACGACGUAUUGUGAAGGCAAAGGUACGAUUCUUUCUUGCCGUUGUCGAUCGGUUUCUCGAGGACGUGCCGAUACAUGAGCCGCGCGAAUUCAUUCAUGAAAUCUUGCGACACGCUCGCGCCGCGUUACACGCUCGAUUGCAUAAAGGCGUCCCGAACAAAUGCUUCGCAUAGGUGCGUUCGUUCGUGACGUUGCAACUACCAGUCGCAGUUCGCAGUAGUGCUACUCAUACUAGCAAUGGUAGUGCACUAUAAUGCGACGAUAGUAAGCGCGCCAGUGUAGCGGCGAUCGUCCGUCUGUACAACAGUGGUGGGCGCGCAAGUAGGACAGCACUUUCCCUGAGUAGAUUGCUCGGCUCGUUCCUUAAGCGGAAUUUGCACUGACAAAUUCAAGAAUAAUGAAGUGGUAAAAAUAUAAUGCCUAGGAACGCCUGUAAGAAAAUUAGAGAAGCGAUUAAAGGAAAGAUUUUUUAUUAUGAAUGAACCUUAAGUUUACUCGCGCGCUUUGGUGAGACUAUGCACAUAUGUACAUGGGUGACUGUGGGUAAACACACAUGUACGGAGCGAGAACGAGAGUUGCUUUAAAGCUCAAGCGGGUUCGAUGUAAUCGACCCUUCGUCGUGGGAAACGGCUACUUUUCCUUCCGACUGGCUGAAUACAACUUUACCUUACGGGAAACCAUUUUUAUCACCUGUACACCAUUAACCGUCACGUUCCAGAUCUCGAUAAAUUAAUUGAGGAAAUGCGAGUGCUUUAUCUCGUUGUGCUAAUGCAAAUUUAAACGUAUAUAGAUAUACCGUUUCUCGACUCUUUAAAUGUCACGUGCCGUAGACUGUUAAUUAGAUUUUUAAUUAGAUCUAAAACAAUGACUGGUUUAAUUAUAAAAACUAGAAUUUUAUAUAUUAAUUUUGAUGCAAAAUAGUUAUAUAAUAUGUUGAAAAUAUAUUGCUCAGUGGUUGCAUAUAAACAGAAUUGCACGUUCCGAAAUACUGGAGUUAAAUAUUUCCCAAUUUUUCGGGCUAUCCGUGUCACGAGCACCGAGCGAGAACAUUGACGAAACGAUAGAAUUGUCUUCGAGGCGCACACUUUCGUUCGGUGGCGCAAGAUUUUCACUGCUGUUUCCGCUCUGAUUCUGUGCGUAUCCGAUCUUUUGUAUCAUUCUGCAUGCAGUGUAUAACUUUCCUUGCUCAUUAAAACCAGAGAUUGAAAGUUUCGAAA